UAGGGGAAUUUUCGUCAAUGGGGGGCGAACCCUGAACGAGCAAUGCCGCGUGAGCGAAGAAGGUCUUCGGAUUGUAAAGCUCUGUUGGACCGGGGAAAAAGGAAGGAAAGAGGAAAUGUCUUUUUCUUUGGA
Molecule: ribosomal RNA, 132 nt
Filed under: uncultured bacterium
Lineage: Bacteria
Description: partial 16S ribosomal RNA
Rfam family: Bacterial small subunit ribosomal RNA
Source: RNAcentral